Gossypium arboreum is the source of this 500-nucleotide long non-coding RNA. RefSeq lists it as uncharacterized. The record is from RefSeq and is a predicted model, not a curated record. The transcript has 3 exons. NCBI's taxonomy places the organism in Eukaryota, Viridiplantae, Streptophyta, Magnoliopsida, Malvales, Malvaceae.
GUAAAUAAAAGAAUAAAAGAAUGAAAUAAAAAGAAACAAAGAAAAGAAAGAACAGAGACAUUCGAAACAGAGCAGGAAGAAAAGGGGAAAGAAAAGAAAAAAGGAAAAACUAAAAGUUUAAGGUUUAAAACUUUGAUUGCCAACAAAGAACUUGAAGCAUCAGCAUCGAAAGGAAAGGAGAAAGUCAUCGAGGACAAAAACGGGAGAAUUAAGGUUAGUAGAAGUCAAUUGUCUUGGCUCAGCAUCCAGAACAUUCCCGACUCCAACACAAAUUUGGUGAUGUAUAUUUUUCUUUUGGGUAAAGGUCGCAUGUACAUAGGUGUUGUUUAGUCACUUGAAUAUGUAUAUUACUUUGGGUAGUGAAUGAUGAAUUAUAAGAUUUAGAUGAAUGAAGUUUUUAAUCAAUUUUGAAUGAUGCUAUGAUAGUUAUUAAGUUAAAAAUUAUGUUAAUGAUAUAAAUAUUAGUUAUAUGAAUGUGAAACAUUGGUGUUGGUUGUUUU